RNAcentral lists this transfer RNA (70 nucleotides) under Marmota monax (woodchuck). Its description in RNAcentral is "tRNA.Thr". Lineage: Eukaryota; Metazoa; Chordata; Mammalia; Rodentia; Sciuridae. The record is from RNAcentral.
GGGUGUGGAUCAGUGGUAGAACACAUUCUUAGUAUGCAAGAGACUCUGGGUUCAAUCUCCAGCACCAACA